UACGUAGGGUGCGAGCGUUGUCCGGAAUUAUUGGGCGUAAAGAGCUCGUAGGCGGUCUGUCGCGUCUGCUGUGAAAACCCGAGGCUCAACCUCGGGCCUGCAGUGGGUACGGGCAGACUAGAGUGCGGUAGGGGAGACUGGAAUUCCUGGUGUAGCGGUGAAAUGCGCAGAUAUCAGGAGGAACACCGAUGGCGAAGGCAGGUCUCUGGGCAUUAACUGACGCUGAGGAGCGAAAGCAUGGGGAGCGAACAGG
Molecule: ribosomal RNA, 253 nt
Filed under: uncultured bacterium
Lineage: Bacteria
Description: partial 16S ribosomal RNA
Rfam family: Bacterial small subunit ribosomal RNA
Source: RNAcentral